GCGGUGGAUGAUGUGGAUUAAUUCGAUGCAACGCGAAAACCUUACCUACCCUUGACAUGUCCGGAAUCCCGAAGAGAUUUGGGAGUGCUCGCAAGAGAACCGGAACACAGGUGCUGCAUGGCUGUCGUCAGCUCGUGUCGUGAGAUGUUGGGUUAAGUCCCGCAACGAGCGCAACCCUUGUCAUCAGUUGCCAUCAUUUGGUUGGGCACUCUAAUGAGACUGCCGGUGACAAACCGGAGGAAGGUGGGGAUGACGUCAAGUCCUCAUGGCCCUUAUGGGUAGGGCUUCACACGUCAUACAAUGGUCGGUACAGAGGGUUGCCAACCCGCGAGGGGGAGCUAAUCCCACAAAGCCGGUCGUAGUCCGGAUCGCAGUCUGCAACUCGACUGCGUGAAGUCGGAAUCGCUAGUAAUCGCGGAUCAGCAUGUCGCGGUGAAUACGUUCCCGGGUCUU
RNAcentral lists this ribosomal RNA (453 nucleotides) under uncultured Rhodocyclaceae bacterium. RNAcentral describes it as "bacterial SSU rRNA". It matches the Rfam family "Bacterial small subunit ribosomal RNA", at positions 929 to 1382 of the family's 1533-position model. Lineage: Bacteria; Pseudomonadati; Pseudomonadota; Betaproteobacteria; Rhodocyclales; Rhodocyclaceae. The record is from RNAcentral.